CAGUCGCCACGGUAAUACAGAGGGUGCGAGCGUUAAUCGGAUUUACUGGGCGUAAAGGGCGCGUAGGCGGUUUAGUGAGUGUGAUGUGAAAGCCCCGGGCUUAACCUGGGAAGUGCAUCGCAAACGACUAAACUGGAGUAUAAGAGAGGGUGGCGGAAUUUCCGGUGUAGCGGUGAAAUGCGUAGAGAUCGGAAGGAACGUCAAUGGCGAAGGCAGCCACCUGGCUUAAUACUGACGCUGAGGCGCGAAAGCGUGGGGAUCAAACAGGAUUAGAUACCCGUGUAGUCCCUGUCUCUUAUAC
This 301-nucleotide ribosomal RNA is filed under the name uncultured bacterium. RNAcentral's name for it is "partial 16S ribosomal RNA". It matches the Rfam family "Bacterial small subunit ribosomal RNA", at positions 509 to 807 of the family's 1533-position model. The record is from RNAcentral.